UGGGACAAAUAACCCCGGGGGCACAGGAGCUGCAGAGGUAAUGAAGUGCCUUGAGGAAAAAGUCUUAACUAUCAAGGGAUAGAUCCACUCCCCCUGCCACAAACCAGAGGUCACGUGGCUGAGGAAUGUGUAUCCAAAGAUAGUGCUACCUUCCGAGAACUCUACUUACAGUUUGCACAGAGCUUGUUUCCAAGAGAAGGAUGUAAUUUAAAAGAUGGAGACAUCAUCUAUACCAUCCCUUAUCUCUUAACAACCCAUCAUUUGUGUUAUGGUUGGAUCAGCAGCCAGAUCUCUGCAGCUGUGUGGAGUGGGCAGACAGUUUGACAACCUGAGGAGGAAAACAAGUCAAAAGCACAGAUUGCCAGGGUCUGAAAUUUUCCACUUUCUUGUAUAACAACAUGGGAAUACUGCAGCUGGCACGUGCCACCAUGUGCAGAUGGAUCAGCAGCAGCACACAGAGACACUGAGCUGGCAAAAAGCAUUUCCUUGGUGUCCACAUCUGCAGAGAUCUGUGCACACAGACCUGGCCACCCUCUGCUGUGCAGCUGAGUGCUCCUUGACUGCAGCCUUGCUGUGAAAGCCUCAGCCAAAGCUGCCCCUUUCCCCCCCUACUCUGAAGCACCAUUACCUUCCUCCUCUUCCUCCUCCUCCUCCUGCACAUCUGCACAGGAUAUUUUUUUGGCCAGAAUAAGAUGAACACAGGUGGUAACAUAAGGCACAUUGCAUCUAGAUUUGACACCUGGUGCACAUAGGGCUUACAAGUUUUAAUCAGUUUUAUGCAAGUUUUUGGCACUCUGGUUUUCUUUUUUUUUUUUUUUUUUUAAACCAGUUUAAUAAGUGGGCAAAAAGCAGCAGCAGAUUUACUUAGGGGGGGUUCAAAUUUGUCUUCAAAGGGUCUGUGUU
Long non-coding RNA from Corapipo altera (White-ruffed manakin), 903 nucleotides. RefSeq lists it as uncharacterized. Lineage: Eukaryota; Metazoa; Chordata; Aves; Passeriformes; Pipridae. The record is from RefSeq and is a predicted model, not a curated record. The transcript has 5 exons.